AAGAUGCGAGAGUGUGUGAACAAACGGAAAAAGCAAUAUAGAAAUAGGUAGAGAAGGUUGUAUAAAGGCCCUUUGUGUUCUUAUCUUAUAACGCAUACGCAUUCUUCCUGUAAAUACGUAAGUGUAAUAAUUAUCAACGAGUAGCGUCAGUGUGUAUGCCGGAUUAGACAAGAACAGAAGGGGCCUCUACACAGCGUUAUCUUUCUAUUCUCAUAUCGCAUUCACUUACACGUGCAAAGUAUAAAGAUAUAUUGUUGGACCGUUAGCGGAGAGACGCGGUGGCGGUAGAUCGUGCGAACGAGAGUCGUAAACGAUUAGAGUCGCGAACGUUACGAUUAGAUAAUCGACGCCACGAAACGAUCGAUCCCCUAUUUCGUUUAGGAUAAUAGUAGUAUAGUAACAGGUUACAAUAUGCACUUUAUUCGAACAACUUUGUAGAUAUAGACAGUUACGCUCGGUACGUAUAGAUAUAAGUUAAACAGAUGACCGAUCUAAGGUAUGACAAACUAGCGAAGUUCUCCGAUGAUGCUGUCGCAGAGGAAAACUAUUGCUGGGGGGCUGGUCUAUUGCGGGUGGAAAUGACCGUUGAUCAUGGGAAAAAGCCGACUUUGUCAGUUUUUUACUCGAUGGAACAAUAACCAUAAGGAACGUCUCGACUUGAAUAUAUUUUAUAAGAACGAAGAUUAUCGCGGUCCGACUAAUUAUAUUUGCACGGUUAGUGGCCGCCUCGACCGAGGGACGGAUUCUGAUUUACGUCAAGAGUCAUCGGACGUAACAUAUAUUAUAUAUAAAUCCUAAGUAUAAAUAGGUAUGAAGAAUUUUGAAGAAAGUUAUUUUUAAAUACGAAUCGAAUUACAAUUAUGGGAAAUUAUGGGAAAAUAUGGGAAAUUAAUGGAACAGUAAGAAGAGAAUACGAUACUUUAUAAAAAUGUAUUUAUUUCGUAUUGAACAUGUUGUAUGUAUAAAAUUAUCCUCUAAUUGCGUUUAAAUAGCCAUCUUUCUAUAUUGGGAAUAUGAAGUAUUUUCGUGAUUAUAAUAUUUUCGCAAUCUGCUUUCGUCCGAUUAACUGACUUGACAAGCAAAUAUUUUUGUCGAUAAUCUAAGUCAUUCACAUUCACCUGUCUUACAGAAAUGAUCGUGUUCUUAUCAAAAGAGAAAGGAUUAUUAGAAAGAAAAGAGGAAAUACGAUAGUAUAGGAAGAAAAAUAAAUGCAAGUCAGUUCAUCGUGCAUGAUAUAAAGUUCAUUAAUAUGUUUGCAUCUGAUAUAAAAAUGUUCUCCGCUGCGUUUGAUAAUCCUAUUAAAGAUUACACAUUAAACUAUGCGCGAGUACUAUUUAUUAUUUCUAGCAUACGAUUUCUUUAGUUUCAACACGCACAUGUACAUAUAUGUGUAUUAAUCAUUACAAUGUACUGUAUUUAAGCUCUUUGAUCGACGUAUAUUAAUGAAUUUCACAAUUUCGAGCGUAUCAUAUGUAUAUUGUCAUGAUUGGUGAAUAAAUUUUGACCAAUUU
Long non-coding RNA from Bombus huntii, 1511 nucleotides. RefSeq lists it as uncharacterized. NCBI's taxonomy places the organism in Eukaryota, Metazoa, Arthropoda, Insecta, Hymenoptera, Apidae. The transcript has 2 exons. The record is from RefSeq and is a predicted model, not a curated record.